ACAUUGCUCAAAAUUGGCUCCAGAGUCAGAUUGGGAGCCAACCAUAUUCCUUUGUCUCUGUUGCAAAGGCCAGUUGAGCUGUACAGACAAUCCUUUUUGCAUGGGAAAAAAAUGGUACAAGGAAGAAAUAGAGCCUUCGACGAGGGAAAAUAAAGAAAAAGAAAAUCACUUUGGUGGCUGAAUAGAAGAUGGAGAAACAAAAAGAUAAACAAGAAAGAAGUUAAGUUUAGGAAUAGUUAAACAUGAUAGAUUUUAGAAGAUUACUAAAUGCACAAAAUGAAGUUACAUAUGUAUAGCUGUAUCUAUCUAAGCUUUUUUAAAAAAAGUCCAAUUAUAAAUUAUAUAAAU
RNAcentral lists this long non-coding RNA (348 nucleotides) under Sarcophilus harrisii (Tasmanian devil). Its description in RNAcentral is "lncRNA (ENSSHAG00000028944.1)". The record is from RNAcentral. Lineage: Eukaryota; Metazoa; Chordata; Mammalia; Dasyuromorphia; Dasyuridae.